AAAGCCUGUAGCAGCCCUUCUGAUGCUGACAGUUUAAAUCUAAGAAGCUCUGACAUUACUGGGAAUCCUCUUGAAGUGGCUGCAGCUUGAGGAAAAUCCAGCUGUUCCAGAAAAGGAGACUUUUCAAUUAAACAACAUCUUCCUUUCCAUCAAAGAUAGAUUUUUAAGGACUUUUAAAUUGGCUUUACGCUGUUGGUAUUAAGCGAGGGCUGGAUUUCACCUCUUGCCUUUCAGGGCUGGAGGCCUGAGCCCCGCUUGGGCUUUAUGCCAGAUGGUUAGCAGACUGGAACCAGAGGGAUGGGUUAUUUCUUUUAAGGGAGGAAAAGGAAUUGACAGAAGGAGUGAGCUUAUUAAAUUGUCUCAGUCUGCUUUUAUUGAUGCAUUUGCAGAGUCGGCAGGUAGACUCACAACUGAAAGAAUUCCACCAGCAAAACAGCCUGUUUCUAGCCUGGGUUCUCCGGUGGCGUUUCCAAGCUUCUGGCUGAGCUUAAUGCUGCCUUCUUCCUGCCAGGGAGAGUGCAUCCCACAAAUGCUUCACAGCUGAAGAAUUGCUCCUAAAUUGAAUAUGGAAGGCUGUUUCCGGCUUGCAGUAGAGAUACAGGGUCCUGUCUCCCUCCUACCUUCCAGACCCCCAAGCCCAACCAAGGAAGAGCUGUCACUUUGGAGGCAAGUAUAGCAUCUUCCUAUCCAGACAGUGGCAGAACCCAUUGGGUC
This 714-nucleotide long non-coding RNA is filed under the name Apteryx owenii (little spotted kiwi). RNAcentral describes it as "lncRNA (ENSAOWG00000011947.1)". The record is from RNAcentral. Lineage: Eukaryota; Metazoa; Chordata; Aves; Apterygiformes; Apterygidae.